AUUGAACGCUGGCGGCAUGCCUUACACAUGCAAGUCGAACGGUAACAGGAGGUGGGAUGCUGACUAGUGGCGGACGGGGGAGGAAUACAACGGAACGUGCCCGAUCGUGGGGGAAAACGAAUCGAAUGCUGUGCUAAUACCUCAUACGGGCUACGGAAGAAAACAGCAGAGCUCAAUGCCUUGCGCGAACGGUGCGGCCGAUGCCAGAUUAGGUAGUUGGUGAGAUAAAAGCUUACCAAGCCGACGAUCUGUAGCUGGACUGAGAGGACGACUAGCCACACUGGAACUGAGACACGGCCCAGACUCCUACGGGAGGCAGCAGUAGGGAAUUUUGGACAAUGGGCGAAAGCCUGAUCGAGCCAUGCCGCGUGAAGGAUGAAGGCCUUCGGGUUGUAAACUGCUUUUGUACGGGAAGAACAGACUCUGAUUAAUCCCUGGGCUCCAUGACGGUACCGUAUGAAUAAGCAACGGCUAACUACGUG
RNAcentral lists this ribosomal RNA (482 nucleotides) under uncultured bacterium. Its description in RNAcentral is "partial 16S ribosomal RNA". It matches the Rfam family "Bacterial small subunit ribosomal RNA", at positions 30 to 507 of the family's 1533-position model. The record is from RNAcentral.